UCUAUUAUUUUAUAUAUUAGUGAGUUCCAUGAAUAUCCUUUAUGUUAUGUAAAACUCUUUCAGUAUGAUAGCUUUUUGUUCGUUUGUGUUUCAUCACAAUUUUCCCAAACGUAUUAGAGGAACUUAACUUGUGCUUUUGCCCUCAUAGUGGACUGAUCCUGCGAAUUCUGUCUUACUGCAAGAAGUGGUCCCAGUGAUACCAACUGGGACCAGUAAGCUGUGGAUUUGCAGGACUAGAGCCCGUAAGAAAGCUCUCACAGGGCCUUAGCACAGAAGAUGCUGAAGGAGGAAAUAGAAUGAAGAGAACUUACGGGUUUUUUUUCAGGUUUUGACUGGGUUUUUUUUGUUCUUCAUCAUUUCUUCCUGAACCUGCUCCAUCUAAAAAUCCUUUCAAUCCCCAAGAGUGCCUGGAACCUUAAUAAUGGAAAAGCAAUAUAAAUUCAAAAAUAACCAAUAGGGAUGUGGAAAGGUUUUGUAUCUGCACUAAUUGAAAGUAAAUGAGAAGAAUAACCAUAUGGAGAUACAUAUACAUACAUGUGGACAAUCAAAUAUUUGAGAAUUCUAUCAUUUCUUAGAACUGGGGAUAUAAUGCACUGUACAAUCUUUUUUCCUCUUUUGCCAAAGUGUGUUUUAGCAUUGUACACUGCUUUAAAACAAUACAAUUUACAAGUGGCUUUAUGUGUUCUGAAUAUUUUUGCCAUAAGUAAAUGCAGUGAGUGGGUAUUGAGUGGGGGGAAAAAAGAAAAUUCACCUUGCUUAUAACAGUACACUUUAGCUUGCAAGUUACUGUACUCAAUAAUGCUGUAUUUGAAUUAAAUUGUUUUGUGUCAUUAAAAAACAAUAAUGAAAGAAUAUAGAUAGAAGAAAAAGCAUUCAGAAGUUUAAAAAAACUUGAAUGAAAUGGAUUUUACAGAAGGCUUUGAUAGUUCUUUUCAAAUGUAUUAUUUAUUUUAUUUGUGCCAUGCAUUUUUCUCACCAAAUGACCUUACCUGUAAUACAGUCUUGUUUGUCUCUGUUUACAACCAUGUAUUUAUUGUAAUGUACAUACUGUAAUGUUAAUUGUAAAUUAUCAGUUCUUACUAUAACAUCAUCCUUGUCAGGGUGGUGUUGCUAUCUUUGGAAACUCUUGGUGAGAGAAUGAUUAUUGUGUAUACAUAUUCCUUGUACAUUUUUUUCUCCUGUAAUAUAUUCAGUGUCACCUUAGAGCUUGUUUAUGGAAGAUUCAAGAAAAGUAUAAAAUACAUAAAGAUAUAUCAAUAAAA
Long non-coding RNA from Haliaeetus leucocephalus (bald eagle), 1262 nucleotides. RefSeq lists it as uncharacterized. NCBI's taxonomy places the organism in Eukaryota, Metazoa, Chordata, Aves, Accipitriformes, Accipitridae. The transcript has 2 exons. The record is from RefSeq and is a predicted model, not a curated record.